RNAcentral lists this ribosomal RNA (429 nucleotides) under uncultured archaeon. RNAcentral's name for it is "bacterial SSU rRNA". It matches the Rfam family "Archaeal small subunit ribosomal RNA", at positions 474 to 903 of the family's 1478-position model. The record is from RNAcentral.
UACCUGCAGCUCAAGUGGUGACCGCUAUUAUUGGGCCUAAAACGUUCGUAGCCGGUUUGGUAAAUGCCUGGGUAAAUCGUGUAGCUUAACUAUACGAAUUCCGGGUAGACUGCUAAACUUGAGACCGGGAGAAGCUAGAGGUACUCCUGGGGUAGAGGUGAAAUUCUGUAAUCCUGGGGGGACCACCAGUGGCGAAGGCGUCUAGCUAGAACGGGUCUGACGGUGAGGAACGAAGCCCUGGGGCGCAAACCGGAUUAGAUACCCGGGUAGUCCAGGGUGUAAACGCUGCUUGCUUGAUGUUAGUUGGGCUCCGAGCCCAAUUAGUGUCGGAGAGAAGUUGUUAAGCAAGCUGCCUGGGAAGUACGAUCGCAAGAUUGAAACUUAAAGGAAUUGGCGGGGGAGCACAGCAACGGGUGGAGCGUGCGGUUU